Molecule: ribosomal RNA, 252 nt
Filed under: uncultured bacterium
Lineage: Bacteria
Description: partial 16S ribosomal RNA
Rfam family: Bacterial small subunit ribosomal RNA
Source: RNAcentral
UACGAAGGGGGCUAGCGUUGUUCGGAAUUACUGGGCGUAAAGCGCACGUAGGCGGAUUUGUAAGUCAGGGGUGAAAUCCCGGGGCUCAACCUCGGAACUGCCUUUGAUACUGCAAGUCUCGAGUCCGAUAGAGGUGAGUGGAAUUCCUAGUGUAGAGGUGAAAUUCGUAGAUAUUAGGAAGAACACCAGUGGCGAAGGCGGCUCACUGGAUCGGUACUGACGCUGAGGUGCGAAAGCGUGGGAGCAAACAGG